AUACUUCAAAUGUAUGGGCAAGACUUAAUAAACCAAAGCUUAAUCGAAGUAGUGCAAUUAACUUAUAAUAAACUCUCAUCUUCUUUUUUUCUCUUGAAAAGCAUGGAGCCUGUAUCUAUAGCAACCAAAAUCAUGGUGAUAUUUAUAUAUGUUUUGGCUUUGAUGCUUAUCUUCCUAGAGGUGGCUACUGCGUUUGAUGUAGUCCCAGAAAAACUUGGUCGAAAGAUUCUAGAAGAAAGCUAUGAAACAGAUGGCCGCAGUGGAUAUAAUUCCAUUGGCCGAGGAGGAUACAAUUAACCACCUAAACAUAUAUAUAUAUAUAUAUAUAUAUUUAUAUGAAAAGAAAAAUGAUGUCGUUUUCUUAGUUAUGUUGGUUAUAUAUAUUGGAAUAAAUAUCGUGAUACAUGUACUGUGUUUGUACUCUUAAACUAAAUAAAUUAUAUAUAAUAUAAUAAAAUUGGCACUUAGUAGCCAUAUAUA
Humulus lupulus (European hop) is the source of this 480-nucleotide long non-coding RNA. RefSeq lists it as uncharacterized. NCBI's taxonomy places the organism in Eukaryota, Viridiplantae, Streptophyta, Magnoliopsida, Rosales, Cannabaceae. The record is from RefSeq and is a predicted model, not a curated record. The transcript has 2 exons.